This 516-nucleotide ribosomal RNA is filed under the name uncultured bacterium. RNAcentral describes it as "partial 16S ribosomal RNA". It matches the Rfam family "Bacterial small subunit ribosomal RNA", at positions 28 to 523 of the family's 1533-position model. The record is from RNAcentral.
GACGAACGCUGGCGGCGUGCCUAAUACAUGCAAGUCGAGCGGACGUUUUUGAAGCUUGCUUUAAAAACGUUAGCGGCGGACGGGUGAGUAACACGUGGGCAACCUACCUUAUCGACUGGGAUAACUCCGGGAAACCGGGGCUAAUACCGGAUAACAUCUAGCACCUCCUGGUGCCGGAUUGAAAGAGGGCUUCUUGCUCUCACGAUAAGAUGGGCCCGCGGAGCAUUAGCUAGUUGGAGAGGUAAUGGCUCCCCAAGGCGACGAUGCGUAGCCGACCUGGGACGGUGAUCGGCCACACUGGGACUGAGACACGGCCCAGACUCCUACGGGAGGCAGCAGUAGGGAAUCUUCCGCAAUGGACGAAAGUCUGACGGAGCAACGCCGCGUGAGUGAUGAAGGGUUUCGGCUCGUAAAGCUCUGUUAUGAGGGGAGAACACGUACCGUUCGAAUAGGGCGGUGCCUUGACGGUACCUCAUCAGAAAGCCACGGCUAACUACGUGCCAGCCGCCGCCGUAA